Hemisphaericaspora subhashii is the source of this 71-nucleotide non-coding RNA. The record is from the annotation of a RefSeq genome assembly. Lineage: Eukaryota; Fungi; Ascomycota; Pichiomycetes; Serinales; Debaryomycetaceae.
UGCAGAGUAGUGUAAAGGUAACAUGAAAGACUCAUGAUCUUAAGAUGGCUGUUCGACUCAGUCCUCUGCAC